Molecule: long non-coding RNA, 690 nt
Organism: Magallana angulata
Lineage: Eukaryota; Metazoa; Mollusca; Bivalvia; Ostreida; Ostreidae
Exons: 3
Source: RefSeq, a predicted model, not a curated record
GUUCCCUUUUCCUCAGUUCAAAUUUCCAUGAAGCUUUAUAAUUGACUCGUAUUAUAUUAGAUUAAAUGGAAUAAACUAGUCUGUUACUGGGCGCCGAUGAGCAAAGCAGAAUGGAACAAUACCAGGCUGUUUCAUCUAUAAACAAUUGCUAUAAGUUUUACUUUGACAAGGACGACAAUCCAGCUAACUACAGCCCUUCUGAACCACUUAUUUUUAACUCAGUAUUCCGCACAUUGCUGAAUCUGCAGUUAAGAGGUCCUGCUUUUCUGAGGUAAUGUUUAUAUUUCUUUAUUUUAUCGUCAUUUCAUUAAUUUUUUCUUUAAAAAAAACCCCACACAGUCUUAGUAUUCCCACCAGUUAUAUUCUUAUGUGCUACGUUUCAUGAUCAUCUAAUGUCCCUGUAUAGAAACACGUGUUUCAGUGUUAUAAAAGAAUGGUGUACUAUUUUGGUAAUUACUGUUUGUCCUGUGAGUAGUAAGAUGCAACAUCGAAUUCGCGUAUAAUUUGCGUACCAUAGAUUCCUAAUUAAACGCCAGGAAUUAAUUUCCGCGUAAAAUCGCCAGAGGCAACUCUCGCAGAUUUUAAAACCUCACUUUUAUUUUUCAGACAGUGUAAGCUAUAGGAAAUUAUAACAAAAUAUUGGUGAUAGCGAUUUUAUAUUCUCGCGAUUUGAUAGAAAACAGCGGAAUC